CCUACGGGAGGCAGCAGUGGGGAAUAUUGCACAAUGGACGAAACCCUGAUGCAGCGACGCCGCGUGAGUGAAGAAGUAUUUCGGUAUGUAAAGCUCUAUCAGCAGGGAAGAAAAUGACGGUACCUGAUUAAGAAGCCCCGGCUAACUACGUGCCAGCAGCCGCGGUAAUACGUAGGGGGCGAGCGUUAUCCGGAUUUACGGGGUGUAAAGGGGGCGUAGACGGCAGCACAAGUCUGGAGUGAAAUGGCGGGGCUUAACCCCGAAACUGCUUUGGAAACUGUGCAGCUAGAGUGCAGGAGAGGUAAGUGGAAUUCGUGGUGUAGCGGUGAAAUGCGUAGAUAUUAGGAGGAACACCAGUGGCGAAGGCAGCUUACUGAACUGUAACUGACGUUGAGGCUCGAAAGCGUGGGGAGCAAACAGGAUUAGAUACCCGUGUAGUC
Molecule: ribosomal RNA, 440 nt
Filed under: uncultured bacterium
Lineage: Bacteria
Description: partial 16S ribosomal RNA
Rfam family: Bacterial small subunit ribosomal RNA
Source: RNAcentral